Molecule: unclassified non-coding RNA, 371 nt
Filed under: soil metagenome
Description: partial contains 5.8S ribosomal RNA, internal transcribed spacer 2, and large subunit ribosomal RNA
Rfam family: 5.8S ribosomal RNA (bases 1-120)
Source: RNAcentral
GAUGAAGAACGUAGCGAAAUGCGAUAAGUAAUGUGAAUUGUAGAAUUCAGUGAAUCAUCGAAUCUUUGAACGCACAUUGCGCCCCCUGGAAUUCCGGGGGGCAUGCCUGUUCGAGCGUCUCAGGGACGAACCCUCGCGCGGGUGUACGCGCGGUCGUGGCUGCGGUGGCGUGCCCGAGGCGGCGGCCACCGCGCUGGAAUCCAUGGGCGGACGCCUGCCGCGUGGCCGAGCGUGAUAUGACGCAUUGGCGCUCGCACGCGGCGAGGCUGCCAGCCCUGGCCCGUCUGUCGGGCGGGGGAGAGCAAGACACGUGAACUCCUCGAAUCAGGUAGGGAUACCCGCUGAACUUAAGCAUAUCAAUAAGCGGAGGA